AGGCCUUCGGGUUGUAACCUCUUCAGCAGGAAGAAGCGCAAGGGCCGGUCCCUGCAGAAGAAGCCCCGGUUAAUUACGUGCCAGCAGCCGCGGUAAUACGUAGGGCGCAAGCGUUGUCCGGAAUUAUUGGGCGUAAAGAGCUUGUAGGCGGUUUGUCGCGUCUGGUGUGAAAACUGGAGGCUCAACCUCGAGCUUGCAUCGGGUACGGGCAGACUAGAGUGCGGUAGGGGAGACUGGAAUUCCUGGUGUAGCGGUGGAAUGCGCAGAUAUCAGGAGGAACACCGAUGGCGAAGGCAGGUCUCUGGGCCGCAACUGACGCUGAGGAGCGAAAGCAUGGGGAGCGAACAGGAUUAGAUACCCUGGUAGUCCAUGCCGUAAACGUUGGGCACUAGGUGUGGGGCUCAUUCCACGAGUUCCGUGCCGCAGCAAACGCAUUAAGUGCCCCGCCUGGGGAGUACGGCCGCAAGGCUAAAACUCAAAGGAAUUGACGGGGGCCCGCACAAGCGGCGGAGCAUGCGGAUUAAUUCGAUGCAACGCGAAGAACCUUACCAAGGCUUGACAUGCACGGGAAGCCACCAGAGAUGGUGGUCUCUUUGGACACUCGUGCACAGGUGGUGCAUGGUUGUCGUCAGCUCGUGUCGUGAGAUGUUGGGUUAAGUCCCGCAACGAGCGCAACCCUCGUCCCAUGUUGCCAGCGGGUUAUGCCGGGGACUCAUGGGAGACUGCCGGGGUCAACUCGGAGGAAGGUGGGGAUGACGUCAAAUCAUCAUGCCCCUUAUGUCUUGGGCUUCACGCAUGCUACAAUGGCCGGUACAAAGGGCUGCGAUACCGUAAGGUGGAGCGAAUCCCAAAAAGCCGGUCUCAGUUCGGAUUGGGGUCUGCAACUCGACCCCAUGAAGUCGGAGUCGCUAGUAAUCGCAGAUCAGCAACGCUGCGGUGAAUACGUUCCCGGGCCUUGUACACACCGCCCGUCAAGUCACGAAAGUCGGUAACACCCGAAGCCCAUGGCCCAACUCUGCU
RNAcentral lists this ribosomal RNA (1020 nucleotides) under Cellulosimicrobium cellulans. RNAcentral describes it as "bacterial SSU rRNA". It matches the Rfam family "Bacterial small subunit ribosomal RNA", at positions 412 to 1445 of the family's 1533-position model. Lineage: Bacteria; Bacillati; Actinomycetota; Actinomycetes; Micrococcales; Promicromonosporaceae. The record is from RNAcentral.